CGCGUAAAGCUGGUCGUGUAAGGGCAGUUUAAAUCUGAAACAGUUGUAACUUUUCUAAAACUGCCAUUAUUCAUUGACGAUCUUUCAUGUAUUGCAAGCUUCUGAUGUAAAGGUUUUGAAAAUAUCACGUGACGCUUUGCCCCUUUACUCAGUCCUGCAGCCAUAUGUUUACUAGUUUCGCGGUUGCCAUGACUUCCGGGGAGGAGAAAGAUUGUGACCCUUAUUUCCAGGAUGGAGCCCACCCUUACUGGGUGCCUUUGGAGGGAUCUGAUUGACUCCUGGCUUCCCUCCUGUUGGAUUCCUCCGCUUCUGAUCCCCAGUCUCCUCUUAGUUGUUUUGAAGGGCAUCCCCUUGAAAGUCUAAGUGUGGUGGAGAUUCCCUAGGAUGAGGCUCAGAAAGCACUGCCAUGACCAAGGCCCAUUCUAACACAUGGGAAGGACAUCAGUGAUAUGCAUAAGGCAUUUACCUACCUCCAGCUCCAAGGCAUUCAUAAUAUAAGCAUAUUACUUGCUUCAAAAAUACUUCAUCAAAGUGACAUGAACCAUGUAACCCUUAUGUAACCCUUAAGUGUCUCCUCUCGUCCAACCACUGAUCAAAGCAGACUAACAUCAGAUCCCCUUAGUUACUCCACCUUGGAAAUUAGGUGCCACCUCCUAAUUUGUUCACUGGAACCGGAAAGUAGUUACCUUCAAACUACCCAGUCAAAUUCCAACUUCAUUUAUUGGAGUGAUUCUGAUCCUGGGAAAUUAGAGUACUAUGUCUAGUUAGAGGGUUCUUAACCAUAUAAGGACCAGCCCAGAUCAGUGAAAUGAGUGCCCAAUUUCCUCAUUACCUGGAUGCCCCUGCAACCACUUUGCAGGAUCCUUUCCUUUCUUUUCAGUAAUUUCCCACCUUGGACUGCACAGACUCCCCUCAAUUCACAGCCUCUCACACCUUGGAUCAGUUUCCAUCCUUGAAUCCAUGAAGGAAGGAUACAUUGAAGGCUACAAGUUACCACAAUAAUCAGCACAACUGAAGAAGUACUCCCUACUAGCAUGGUGGCAGAAAAAGAACUGAGGGAUUAAUCGCUUUGGCGGGAAGUGAUUGUACAAGUGAGAGGGGUGGGUGAAGCACUCCAUCUACUGAAGAUUCUAGAAGAAGCUUGGAAGAUUCCUAUCUUCCUGGCUGGCCUGUGGCUGCGCAAUCCCUUCUGGGACUGCACAGAAUCCAUGAAGAUGAACAGGAUUGCUUGGUCCCAGGGUUGGUGCCUUUCAGCUUGUGUACUCUAAGGAUGUAGACAGGAUUCUUGGAAUGUUGAAACCCAACACCUGUUUGUAUGACACUUGCCCCUCCUGGUUGCUUAAAUCUGCUGGAGUGAAGCUGGAGGACUGGGUCUGGGAGACAGUAAAAGCCUCCUGAGUUAGGAGGUGGUAACUCCUGCCUUGAAGUGGACAGUGGUGUGUCCACUCCUAAAGAAACCUAUUCUGGACCCAGGAGAGUUGAAUAAUUACUGUCCAGUUUCCAGUGUACCAUUUUUGAAAAAGAUGACUGAAAAGAGUGACCAACUUCAGAAAUUCUUGAAUUAAGCAGAUUGUUUUGAUCCACUUCAAUCUGCUUUCAGGUCAGAUUAUGUGAUGGAAAUGGCCUGGUGCACCAGGUGAUGUACCGGAGAGCUUGAUCCUGUUAAUUCACCUGGAUCUCUUGGGAGCUUGUGAUAUAAUUAAUCAUAGUAUACUUUUGGAUUACCUUUCAGGACUAGGAUUGGGAGGUAUUAUUCUGCAGUAGUUCUGGUCCUACCUCAUGGAUGAGUUUCAGUCUGUUCUAGCCCCUAGCCUGUGUAGUUUCCCAAGGUUUCAUGUCAUCCCUCUUAGUUUUCAAUAUCCACCUGAAGCCACUGGGAGAGGCCACCUGGAUAUCUGAGCUAAGCCACCAAUAUUCAGGUGCCACUUAGCUCUUCCUCAUGCUACUAUCAGAUUGGAGAGAAGCUGUGGAAACUGAGCACAUCGUUGGAAACAGUUUUGGAAUGGAUGAGGGUUAACAAGCUGAAAUAUAAUACCAACAAAAUGGAGGUGCUAUUGGUGGAGGGAUGAUCUGGUUUAGGUAACAAGCAAUUCCCUGUUCUGGAUAGGCUUGUACUUCUCCCACAGGAGCAGGCUUGUAGCCUUGAGUGCUUUUUUUUUUAUAAACAGGUGGCAACAAUGCCAAGGGGUGCCUUUCAUCAGUUUUGACUGUUGAGUCAGCUGCAGCCCUGUGUAGAAAGGACUGGUGAAUCACUGUGGUACAUGCCUUAAUAACUUCUGGAUUAGAUUAUGGAGAGAGGGAAAAAUACCAACCAAGAAAGACUGGAUGCAGAAGAUCACAGAAUAUUCAAAAAUAGCAAAAUUAACAACCUUAUUAAAGGACAGUAAUACAGAGAAGUUUGUAGAAAACUGGAAACUUUUAUGGACUAUUUACUGAAAAAUAUGAAGAGAAAUAAUUGCAGGAUUUGAGAUUUAAAAGAAAACAGCAGGCUGAAAUAGAAUAUUAGAAAUGAUAAAAUGUGUAACUGACACACUUUCAUUUUAAUUAGAUGCAUGAAGCUAGAAUGGAUUAGAAUUUAAUAAUGAGGUAGCGGGAAGUCAUUAUCUGGCUAUUUUCUUUUUUUGUAUUUCAUGUUUUUGUUUUGUAUUGAUGUGGUGGUGGUGUGAAAGUGUAUGUGUUUAUUCUUUUUUGUAUUCCUGUGUAUGUUGAGAAAAUAAAAAAAAAUCACCCCCUGGA
Molecule: long non-coding RNA, 2736 nt
Organism: Sphaerodactylus townsendi
Lineage: Eukaryota; Metazoa; Chordata; Lepidosauria; Squamata; Sphaerodactylidae
Exons: 3
Source: RefSeq, a predicted model, not a curated record